CGUGUUCAUGGGUGGCGGGACGCCCAGCCUGUUUUCCGCGGGGGCGAUGGACCGGUUGCUCGCCGGCGUGCGCGCC
This 76-nucleotide transfer RNA is filed under the name Paludibacterium paludis. RNAcentral describes it as "tRNA-Gly". Lineage: Bacteria; Pseudomonadati; Pseudomonadota; Betaproteobacteria; Neisseriales; Chromobacteriaceae. The record is from RNAcentral.